AGUGAAAUCCCUUAGUAACGAAGCUAACGCGUGAAGUUGACCGCCUGGGGAGUACGGUCGCAAGAUUAAAACUCAAAGGAAUUGACGGGGACCCGCACAAGCGGUGGAUGAUGUGGAUUAAUUCGAUGCAACGCGAAAAACCUUACCUACCCUUGACAUGUCCAGAACCCUGAAGAGAUUUGGGGGUGCCCGAAAGGGAAUUGGAACACAGGUGCUGCAUGGCUGUCGUCAGCUCGUGUCGUGAGAUGUUGGGUUAAGUCCCGCAACGAGCGCAACCCUUAUCAUUAGUUGCUACGCAAGGGCACUCUAAUGAGACUGCCGGUGACAAACCGGAGGAAGGUGGGGAUGACGUCAAGUCCUCAUGGCCCUUAUGGGUAGGGCUUCACACGUCAUACAAUGGUCGGUACAGAGGGUUGCCAAGCCGCGAGGUGGAGCCAAUCCCAGAAAGCCGAUCGUAGUCCGGAUUGUUCUCUGCAACUCGAGAGCAUGAAGUCGGAAUCGCUAGUAAUCGCGGAUCAGCAUGUCGCGGUGAAUACGUUCCCGGGUCUUGUACACACCGCCCGUCACACCAUGGGGGUGGAAUCUGGCAGAAGUAGGUAGCCUAACCGCAAGGGGGGCGCUUACCACGCUGGGUUUCAUGACUGGGGUG
This 649-nucleotide ribosomal RNA is filed under the name uncultured Thiobacillus sp. RNAcentral's name for it is "bacterial SSU rRNA". It matches the Rfam family "Bacterial small subunit ribosomal RNA", at positions 830 to 1482 of the family's 1533-position model. The record is from RNAcentral. Lineage: Bacteria; Pseudomonadati; Pseudomonadota; Betaproteobacteria; Nitrosomonadales; Thiobacillaceae.